Molecule: ribosomal RNA, 253 nt
Filed under: uncultured bacterium
Lineage: Bacteria
Description: partial 16S ribosomal RNA
Rfam family: Bacterial small subunit ribosomal RNA
Source: RNAcentral
UACGUAGGAGACGAGCGUUGUCCGGAAUCACUGGGCGUAAAGGGCGCGUAGGCGGCUCAUGAAGGCUGUGGUGAAAGUCCGGGGCUCAACCUCGGAUCGGCCGUGGCGACUCGUGGGCUGGAGCACUGUAGAGGCGGGUGGAAUUCCGGGUGUAGCGGUGGAAUGCGUAGAGAUCCGGAAGAACACCGGUGGCGAAGGCGGCCUUCUGGACAGUGACUGACGCUGAGACGCGAAAGCGUGGGGAGCAAACAGG